RNAcentral lists this ribosomal RNA (253 nucleotides) under uncultured bacterium. RNAcentral describes it as "partial 16S ribosomal RNA". It matches the Rfam family "Bacterial small subunit ribosomal RNA", at positions 524 to 776 of the family's 1533-position model. The record is from RNAcentral.
UACGUAGGGGGCUAGCGUUGUCCGGAAUCAUUGGGCGUAAAGAGCUCGUAGGCGGUCCGGUAAGUCCGCUGUGAAAGGCGGGGGCUCAACCCUCGAAUGCCGGUGGAUACUGUCGGGCUAGAGUGCGGAAGAGGAGAGUGGAAUUCCUGGUGUAGCGGUGAAAUGCGCAGAUAUCAGGAGGAACACCUAUUGCGAAGGCAGCUCGCUGGGACGUAACUGACGCUGAGACGCGAAAGCGUGGGGAGCAAACAGG